CCAUUCCCAUGGUGUCGGUGAGGGUACCCCAAAUUUGUCCGCUGCAAUAUUGGAAGUUUAUUUCAGUGUAUUAUUAAUCGUAUCAAGCAAUCUGAUUUGCCUAAACAACUGUGCAACUGAUUGAGAAUGAUGGAAUUCCCAGCAUACCAAUGUAAUCGACUUCGUUACGUCCAUCUGAUGAGCGGUGUGCUGUUCCAUCUCCAGGCCAAGUCAUGCCAUACGGGUAAUUCAUAUUCUCCCCAGUGUCUGCCAAAAUUUGCAUAAAACCUAUCAUUGAUGCUCUCGACGAUUACGUAACGUUUGGAAUGUAGAACACGUCGUUCACAGUUUUUGAUCACAUGAGUUUUUUUCCAAAUACUGAUAUUGGUUGCAGUUAUUGUUUCAAGUUGCAUUCACCAAAAAUUGAAAUUUUCAGAUUUUGUUACCUGUGUAACUAUCUCCGAACACGAAGAGACCUUGUGCACCAUCAGUGUACCCUGCAUGGAAAGUUGUACAUAAGUAAUGAAGUUAUUUCUGCUAACAGAUAGAAGACACCUCUGAAGCUAGAGGCACUAGGAUAAUUCAUAAUCUGAGGUGUAAUGAGUUUGUUGAGUAAACACUUACUGCAGUUUGUGGUCAGUAGCAGAAGCAUGUUCGAGAAAACACAUGAUAAUACAGCUGCAGAUCCAGUCCCAAUAGUUCGACGUCCAACUGGGUGCGCCAUUCUGAAUUCUUGCUCGAUUGGAACUGCUGUGCUAUC
This 739-nucleotide long non-coding RNA is filed under the name Physcomitrium patens. Its description in RNAcentral is "long non-coding RNA (PPAT_LNC004995)". Lineage: Eukaryota; Viridiplantae; Streptophyta; Bryopsida; Funariales; Funariaceae. The record is from RNAcentral.